RNAcentral lists this transfer RNA (75 nucleotides) under Armatimonadota bacterium. RNAcentral describes it as "Armatimonadetes bacterium (bioreactor metagenome) tRNA-Gln". It matches the Rfam family "tRNA". Rfam says of the family: Transfer RNA (tRNA) molecules are approximately 80 nucleotides in length. Their secondary structure includes four short double-helical elements and three loops (D, anti-codon, and T loops). The record is from RNAcentral. Lineage: Bacteria; Bacillati; Armatimonadota.
UGCCGGGUGGUCUAGUGGUAAGACGGCUGACUCUGGAUCAGUAAAUCGUAGGUUCGAAUCCUACCCCGGCAACCA